CCUACGGGUGGCAGCAGUGAGGAAUAUUGGUCAAUGGACGAGAGUCUGAACCAACCAAGUAGCGUGAAGGAUGACUGCCCUAUGGGUUGUAAACUUCUUUUAUAUGGGAAUAAAAUGUUCCACGUGUGGGAUUUUGUAUGUACCAUAUGAAUAAGGAUCGGCUAACUCCGUGCCAGCAGCCGCGGUAAUACGGAGGAUCCGAGCGUUAUCCGGAUUUAUUGGGUUUAAAGGGAGCGUAGGUGGAUUGUUAAGUCAGUUGUGAAAGUUUGCGGCUCAACCGUAAAAUUGCAGUUGAAACUGGCAGUCUUGAGUACAGUAGAGGUGGGCGGAAUGCGUGGUGUAGCGGUGAAAUGCUUAGAUAUCACGAAGAACUCCGAUUGCGAAGGCAGUUCACUGGACUGCAACUGACACUGAGGCUCGAAAGUGUGGGUAUCAAACAGGAUUAGAUACCCCAGUAGUC
Molecule: ribosomal RNA, 460 nt
Filed under: uncultured bacterium
Lineage: Bacteria
Description: partial 16S ribosomal RNA
Rfam family: Bacterial small subunit ribosomal RNA
Source: RNAcentral